Molecule: long non-coding RNA, 1076 nt
Organism: Pseudomyrmex gracilis
Lineage: Eukaryota; Metazoa; Arthropoda; Insecta; Hymenoptera; Formicidae
Exons: 3
Source: RefSeq, a predicted model, not a curated record
AUAAUAACAUAACUCUAAAUGUACACACAUUCAUUCACACAAUACAUUUAAAAAGUUUUUUUACAUAUAAAAACAUUCGCACUGCAUCAUACAUCACCACACUUGCUUUUGCUCUUGCUUUAGCCAGCACAGCAGCCAGCAUUCAAGAAAUCCAGCAGACAAAAAAGCAUCGUGUGCCGCUGGCUUUACACACAUCUCAGCACAAAACUAUACAUAUACACAAAAAUACACUUUAAAACCAGAAGAAAACUCAUAAAGCCUUUUCUACAAUAGUCGCACAGAUCGUGUCGUAUGUCGUAUAAGAAUGUUGUACAAACACUGUUUCCGGUCUUAAGCUUGUCGCAGUCGCAAGAGCUCUUGUCGUACAGAGUUGAGCCAACUUUAACUUUCUGCGACUGCGACAAGCAUGUCGCAUGAUAUCAGCCAAUCACAGCACAGGAAAUUCGGCGCCGAAAUGAUUUGCGUUACAUGAAACCCUUUGGAACACCGUUUUUCUUCACUAUUUACUGGUCGCACCCGCCAUCUUCUGUUUGAUUCACCGAGCAAUUGAUGAUAUAAUAAUAUUAAGUUCAAAAAUUGAGAGCAGAGUUGCAGAAAGUAUAUCUACUUAGCGACACUCUUACGACAUGCGACAACUUUUCCUGCGACAUUAUUACUUACGACAUGCGACACAGCCUGUGCGACUAUUCUAGACGAGGAUUAAAAUGUAGCGAAAUGCCGCGAAACCCAGCAAAAGCGAAACUGUUGGAAAUUGUUAUGGCUGAUAUCAGGUGAUGCACUUCUAGACAAGGGGGAAAAGAGGCAGAGAAUGAAAUCGAUUGUGCUGCCGCCUGGCACGAGGACCACCGAAAUGAAGCUCCGUCACCACUAAAAGUAGCUGAGUUUGGUUCCCCUGCGACGGUUUCAGCCGCUGGUUUUAGCGCCAUAUUCACAAAAAUGGAUCUCAAAGGUCAUUUUACAUUAAACGCAAGUCGCAGAUUUCGUGGAAUUUUGACUAAUUGCAUACUCAAAUCAGCCAAUCGACCGUGAUUGAUCAAUUCCACGAGACCUGCGACUUGCGUUUAAUGUAGAACGGC